CCUACGGGUGGCAGCAGUGGGGAAUAUUGCACAAUGGGGGAAACCCUGAUGCAGCGACGCCGCGUGAAGGAAGAAGUAUUUCGGUAUGUAAACUUCUAUCAGCAGGGAAGAAAAUGACGGUACCUGACGAAGAAGCCCCGGCUAACGACGUGCCAGCAGCCGCGGUAAGACGUAGGGGGCAAGCGUUAUCCGGAUUUACUGGGUGUAAAGGGAGCGUAGACGGCAUGGCAAGUCUGGUGUGAAAGGCAGGGGCUCAACCCCUGGACUGCAUUGGAAACUGUCAGGCUGGAUUGCAGGAGAGGUAAGUGUAAUUCCUAGUGUAGCGGUGAACUGCGUAGAUAUUAGGAGGAACCCCAGUGGCGAAGGCGACUUACUUGACUGUAACUGACGUUGAGGCUCGAAAGCGUGGGGAGCAAACAGGAUUAGAUACCCCAGUAGUC
This 440-nucleotide ribosomal RNA is filed under the name uncultured bacterium. RNAcentral describes it as "partial 16S ribosomal RNA". It matches the Rfam family "Bacterial small subunit ribosomal RNA", at positions 338 to 795 of the family's 1533-position model. The record is from RNAcentral.